GGUUAUGGCUCAGUGGUAGAGCACUCACCUAGCACAUGCGAGGCCCUGGGUUUGAUCCUCAGCACCA
RNAcentral lists this transfer RNA (67 nucleotides) under Marmota monax (woodchuck). RNAcentral's name for it is "tRNA.Ala". The record is from RNAcentral. Lineage: Eukaryota; Metazoa; Chordata; Mammalia; Rodentia; Sciuridae.